ACAGGUCGCCGGACGGUCGCGGCAGCGGGAACGCUGACGAGGAACGUCCGGGCUCCGCAGAGCACAGCGGUGGGUAACACCCACCCGGGGCGACCCGCGGGCACGUGCAACAGAGAGCAGACCGCCUGCCUGCCUGGUGCAGGCCGGUAAGGGUGAAACGGUGGUGUAAGAGACCACCAGGGUUCCGGGUGACCGGAAUCGCUGGGUAAACCCCGCUGGGAGCAAGAUCAGACAGACAGCGUCCGAGGGCUGCUCGCCCGAGCUGUCGGGUGGAUCGCUCGAGGCCGUCGGUGACGGCGGCCCUAGACAGAUGACCGUCGAACGGUGUCCGGGCAACCGGCCCGUGGACAGAACCCGGCGUACAGGCGGCCUGUCCUC
RNAcentral lists this RNase P RNA (378 nucleotides) under Brevibacterium pityocampae. RNAcentral's name for it is "RNase P class A". It matches the Rfam family "Bacterial RNase P class A". Rfam says of the family: Ribonuclease P (RNase P) is a ubiquitous endoribonuclease, found in archaea, bacteria and eukarya as well as chloroplasts and mitochondria. Its best characterised activity is the generation of mature 5'-ends of tRNAs by cleaving the 5'-leader elements of precursor-tRNAs. Cellular RNase Ps are ribonucleoproteins. The record is from RNAcentral. Lineage: Bacteria; Bacillati; Actinomycetota; Actinomycetes; Micrococcales; Brevibacteriaceae. RNAcentral also lists the same sequence under 3 other names.